GGUUAAGCGACUAAGCGUACACGGUGGAUGCCCCGGCAGUCAGAGGCGAUGAAGGACGUGCUAAUCUGCGAUAAGCGUCGGUAAGGUGAUAUGAACCGUUAUAACCGGCGAUUUCCGAAUGGGGAAACCCAGUGUGUUUCGACACACUAUCAUUAACUGAAUCCAUAGGUUAAUGAGGCGAACCGGGGAACUGAAACAUCUAAGUACCCCGAGGAAAAGAAAUCAACCGAGAUUCCCCAGUAGCGGCGAGCGAACGGGGAGCAGCCCAGAGCCUGAAUCAGUGUGUGUGUUAGUGGAAGCGUCUGGAAAGGCGUGCGAUACAGGGUGACAGCCCCGUACACAAAAAUGCACAUGCUGUGAGCUCGAUGAGUAGGGCGGGACACGUGGUAUCCUGUCUGAAUAUGGGGGACCAUCCUCCAAGGCUAAAUACUCCUGACUGACCGAUAGUGAACCAGUACCGUGAGGGAAAGGCGAAAAGAACCCCGGCGAGGGGAGUGAAAAAGAACCUGAAACCGUGUACGUACAAGCAGUGGGAGCACGCUUAGGCGUGUGACUGCGUACCUUUUGUAUAAUGGGUCAGCGACUUAUAUUCUGUAGCAAGGUUAACCGAAUAGGGAGCCGAAGGGAAACCGAGUCUUAACUGGGCGUUAAGUUGCAGGGUAUAGACCCGAAACCCGGUGAUUCUAGCCAUGGGCAGGUUGAAGGUUGGGUAACACUAACUGGAGGACCGAACCGACUAAUGUUGAAAAAUUAGCGGAUGACUUGUGGCUGGGGGUGAAAGGCCAAUCAAACCGGGAGAUAGCUGGUUCUCCCCGAAAGCUAUUUAGGUAGCGCCUCGUGAAUUCAUCUCCGGGGUAGAGCACUGUUUCGGCAAGGGGGUCAUCCCGACUUACCAACCCGAUGCAAACUGCGAAUACCGGAGAAUGUUAUCACGGGAGACACACGGCGGGUGCUAACGUCCGUCGUGAAGAGGGAAACAACCCAGACCGCCAGCUAAGGUCCCAAAGUCAUGGUUAAGUGGGAAACGAUGUGGGAAGGCCCAGACAGCCGGGAUGUUGGCUUAGAAGCAGCCAUCAUUUAAAGAAAGCGUAAUAGCUCACUGGUCGAGUCGGCCUGCGCGGAAGAUGUAACGGGGCUAAACCAUGCACCGAAGCUGCGGCAGCGACGCUUAUGCGUUGUUGGGUAGGGGAGCGUUCUGUAAGCCUGCGAAGGUGUGCUGUGAGGCAUGCUGGAGGUAUCAGAAGUGCGAAUGCUGACAUAAGUAACGAUAAAGCGGGUGAAAAGCCCGCUCGCCGGAAGACCAAGGGUUCCUGUCCAACGUUAAUCGGGGCAGGGUGAGUCGACCCCUAAGGCGAGGCCGAAAGGCGUAGUCGAUGGGAAACAGGUUAAUAUUCCUGUACUUGGUGUUACUGCGAAGGGGGACGGAGAAGGCUAUGUUGGCCGGGCGACGGUUGUCCCGGUUUAAGCGUGUAGGCUGGUUUUCCGAGCAAAUCCGGAAAAUCAAGGCUGAGGCGUGAUGACGAGGCACUACGGUGCUGAAGCAACAAAUGCCCUGCUUCCGGGAAAAGCCUCUAAGCAUCAGGUAACAUCAAAUCGUACCCCAAACCGACACAGGUGGUCAGGUAGAGAAUACCAAGGCGCUUGAGAGAACUCGGGUGAAGGAACUAGGCAAAAUGGUGCCGUAACUUCGGGAGAAGGCACGCUGAUAUGUAGGUGAGGUCCCUCGCGGAUGGAGCUGAAAUCAGUCGAAGAUACCAGCUGGCUGCAACUGUUUAUUAAAAACACAGCACUGUGCAAACACGAAAGUGGACGUAUACGGUGUGACGCCUGCCCGGUGCCGGAAGGUUAAUUGAUGGGGUUAGCGCAAGGCGAAGCUCUUGAUCGAAGCCCCGGUAAACGGCGGCCGUAACUAUAACGGUCCUAAGGUAGCGAAAUUCCUUGUCGGGUAAGUUCCGACCUGCACGAAUGGCGUAAUGAUGGCCGGGCUGUCUCCACCCGAGACUCAGUGAAAUUGAACUCGCUGUGAAGAUGCAGUGUACCCGCGGCAAGACGGAAAGACCCCGUGAACCUUUACUAUAGCUUGACACUGAACAUUGAGCCUUGAUGUGUAGGAUAGGUGGGAGGCUUUGAAGUGUGGACGCCAGUCUGCAUGGAGCCGACCUUGAAAUACCACCCUUUAAUGUUUGAUGUUCUAACGUUGACCCGUAAUCCGGGUUGCGGACAGUGUCUGGUGGGUAGUUUGACUGGGGCGGUCUCCUCCUAAAGAGUAACGGAGGAGCACGAAGGUUGGCUAAUCUCGGUCGGACAUCAGGAGGUUAGUGCAAUGGCAUAAGCCAGCUUGACUGCGAGCGUGACGGCGCGAGCAGGUGCGAAAGCAGGUCAUAGUGAUCCGGUGGUUCUGAAUGGAAGGGCCAUCGCUCAACGGAUAAAAGGUACUCCGGGGAUAACAGGCUGAUACCGCCCAAGAGUUCAUAUCGACGGCGGUGUUUGGCACCUCGAUGUCGGCUCAUCACAUCCUCGGGGCUGAAGUAGGUCCCAAGGGUAUGGCUGUUCGCCAUUUAAAGUGGUACGCGAGCUGGGUUUAGAACGUCGUGAGACAGUUCGGUCCCUAUCUGCCGUGGGCGCUGGAGAACUGAGGGGGCUGCUCCUAGUACGAGAGGACCGGAGUGGACGCAUCACUGGUGUUCGGGUUGUCAUGCCAAUGGCACUGCCCGGUAGCUAAAUGCGGAAGAGAUAAGUGCUGAAAGCAUCUAAGCACGAAACUUGCCCCGAGAUGAGUUCUCCCUGACUCCUUGAGAGUCCUGAAGGAACGUUGAAGACGACGACGUUGAUAGGCCGGGUGUGUAAGCGCAGCGAUGCGUUGAGCUAACCGGUACUAAUGAACCGUGAGGCUUAACCUU
This 2900-nucleotide ribosomal RNA is filed under the name Escherichia coli. RNAcentral's name for it is "23S ribosomal RNA". It matches the Rfam family "Bacterial large subunit ribosomal RNA". The record is from RNAcentral. Lineage: Bacteria; Pseudomonadati; Pseudomonadota; Gammaproteobacteria; Enterobacterales; Enterobacteriaceae.